Molecule: transfer RNA, 72 nt
Filed under: Camelus bactrianus (Bactrian camel)
Lineage: Eukaryota; Metazoa; Chordata; Mammalia; Artiodactyla; Camelidae
Also listed under: 2 other names
Rfam family: tRNA
About the family: Transfer RNA (tRNA) molecules are approximately 80 nucleotides in length.
Source: Rfam by way of RNAcentral
GAGAGUAUAUCUCAGUGGUAGAGCACAUGCUUAGCAUGCACCAGGUCCUGGGUUCAAUCCCCAGUACUGCCA